UUUGGAACGGGUCUCUGAGGGUUUUGUAUAUUUUAAAUUGUUUUUUAGGGUUAGGUCCGAUGCCACGUCGCUGGUAGCUUCAAUUCAGCGAUGACCAGUGAUGCUAUGAUUGGACCAAAAUCAAAAGUGAGUUUCGUUUGUUUCGCAUCCUGAUAGGAAUCUGUAGAUCUCAUACUUUACGAUCUGCGGAGCCGUUUUGUGCGAUUACAUUCUUGUUAUUUGAACUUUUUUGUGUCGUUUGCUUUUGUUUUAUGUUGUCAUUCAUGUGGCGAAGCCGGUGAUGAUUUAUUUUAUUUGGAAUUACCGUCUGAUAUUUGAUGAGAAUUUCUGGCUGACUGAGGCUUCGCAGAUGCAUGGCUGUAAAUGUGUUCAAAUUUUUCUGUCUAUUUUGUCUUCCGCCUGCCUUUAAUCUAGAAGUCACUUCUUUUUGUUCACGUUACUUGCCAUGCCUAUUUGUCCUAAUUUGCUUUGUUAAAUAUAAUAUUGUUGAACCACAUUCCAGUUUCCCUCUUCCUAUUUAGACACAGGAAUCUGAAUGGCCUUUAGACCCAUUCUAUUGCAUAUGAAGCUUUGUUAAUUUUCAUGCCAACCUGAUGGAAUGUGGUUGUGUGACUUUAAAAUUGAUAAUUUUAAGUGUAUGAUAUCCUUUCUUGAAGGUUUCUAACAAGUUUGAUUUUGUUUGUCAUUGACGGAGCAUGUAUUAUUAUCCUACGAAUUAAAGAAAAAAAUAGAACAAAACCUAUAUAAAAUACGGAUCUAAAUGCAUCCACUAAAGCCUUUAAUCAUCUGGGCUUAAGAUUAUUUUUGGCCCCAUAAGAAAAGUUCUGUGUAUAAUGAUAAUUAGGCAAUUGCUUCCUGCAAUUUAGCUAAUUUGAGAUAAAAUCGCAACUGAGGUGAAAGGGAGACCAAACGUGCAACUCCAGAACAGUGCAGGUGAAAAAGAAGGAAGAUAAAAAAUUAGGGUUAAAUUAAAACGCUAGUUUUAAUAUUUCACACAUUUGACGAGUACAUGAAGUAAUAGCCUUUUUUUUAUAUUUUACAGUGUGAUAUAAUAAAAGAAAUAUUGUACAAGGAAUUUGUAGUAUUCCAACCAUUAAUAAAUCAAGAUUCUAUACUUUUCUUAAAUGUGAAAGAGAUAUACCCGGGGCAAAAAAAAUGUAAGAUAUAGAAGGGGAAUGUUGUUUUUUUUUUUUCAUUUUUUGUCUUUAUGCAUUAGAAAAGGGUGUUCGAAUUAUUAACAUAGUUCCCUUAUUGAACUUUUUUUUUAAGAGGGGAAAAAGAAAAAUUCUUUUUUUAGAUAAAAAUUUAAAAUUUGUUCAAGUAAAUCGGUUUUUCUGUCAUGAAUGAUAAAUCACUAGGAAAAUCCAAUAUUUUAAAAUUGUAUCUAAAAUGAUUGGAAAAGUGAAGACAAAACCGGAUAUAAUUUGAUCAUUUUGAGCAAAUAUACAGAGAAAACAAAAUGUUUGACAAAGAUUUAUAUUAAAUUUGAAAUCAUUAAAUAUUUGUUAUUAAUUUAUGAGUUAAAUAUAAUUUUAUUUUCAUUUUAUUUUUAAAUACAUUGGUUUUAAUCUCCUUUUUAUAGAUGCCAACUUUUAUCUUACUUGGCAAACAAUGUUUUGUUUCACGGCAAAAAAUAAAUUAUAGAUGUAACAUAGAAAGAGAA
This 1663-nucleotide long non-coding RNA is filed under the name Vigna radiata. Lineage: Eukaryota; Viridiplantae; Streptophyta; Magnoliopsida; Fabales; Fabaceae. The record is from RNAcentral.